GUACUUUUACAGUUCAUAACUAUGAUCAUUGGGUUUUCACACUUGUGAGAUGUGCCUCCCUUAAACCUCAUUAUGACGUCAACCCAUUUCCUGUCUAAUA
Molecule: small nucleolar RNA, 100 nt
Organism: Nycticebus coucang (slow loris)
Lineage: Eukaryota; Metazoa; Chordata; Mammalia; Primates; Lorisidae
Product: small nucleolar RNA U13
Exons: 1
Source: RefSeq, a predicted model, not a curated record